This is a long non-coding RNA of Plutella xylostella (diamondback moth), 419 nucleotides long. RefSeq lists it as uncharacterized. NCBI's taxonomy places the organism in Eukaryota, Metazoa, Arthropoda, Insecta, Lepidoptera, Plutellidae. The record is from RefSeq and is a predicted model, not a curated record.
UAUAAACAAUGUUUUUAUUGACAUAAUUAUGUAUUUAAAACAUUUUUUUAACUUAGGGCACACCUGCAAUUAUGUGUGGAUGGAUAAUGACAUCAAGAGUAGUAGACAGGCAUUCUUGGGAGGCCUUUCAAGUGGCUUAAAAAAUCCUCAGAAAGGAAAGAGGCUGAUUAUCACACAUAUAGGGAAUGAAGAUGGUUUUUUAGAAGGCGCAGAUUGGGUUUUUGAAGCAAAAAAGUCAGAUGGCGAUUAUCACGGGGAAAUGGAUGCUCAUAAUUUUGAGAAAUGGUUUAAGAUGGUUUUAGACAAAAUUCUGCCGGGAUCUGUAAUUGUAAUGGAUAAUGCUCCAUACCAUUCUCGCCAACUCGAACGAGUGCCCAACAUGAGCUGGAGGAAGGAUGCUAUACAAGAAUGGUUACGAA